Molecule: long non-coding RNA, 416 nt
Organism: Maylandia zebra (zebra mbuna)
Lineage: Eukaryota; Metazoa; Chordata; Actinopteri; Cichliformes; Cichlidae
Source: RefSeq, a predicted model, not a curated record
AACUGAAAAAAAGGCACACCGCGCUGAAUGCUACAUCCGUCCUGCGACGGUACACCGCCUCCGCACCACCGUUUAAACAUGAAGUGUGGAUGUUAGAAGAUCCCAAAUAUGGAAAUAGUCAGGACCCAGAUGAACCUGUGCUGGAAUUCAGUGUGGGCUAGGGCCUAUUAUAUGCUGUAGCCUGAAGGCAGCUGAGUUGCAGAGGAUGGAGUGAUCACUGGCUUUCUACUUACAGGGUGGUGGGUCUCAGAGGACAAUUGCUACCCCUGUUGAAGUGAACAACGUGUGGAGUGCAACUGGCUUUGUGGCAUAGCUGGCUCUGGCCUUGGACUGUGUGUUUUUACUUUGUACCUAAAUGGGACACUGGACUUGUAACUAUUAUUCAUUGUGUUUAUAAAUAAAAUUUUAGAAUUUUA